This 427-nucleotide ribosomal RNA is filed under the name Aeromonas veronii. RNAcentral's name for it is "bacterial SSU rRNA". It matches the Rfam family "Bacterial small subunit ribosomal RNA", at positions 353 to 772 of the family's 1533-position model. Lineage: Bacteria; Pseudomonadati; Pseudomonadota; Gammaproteobacteria; Aeromonadales; Aeromonadaceae. The record is from RNAcentral.
AGUGGGGAAUAUUGCACAAUGGGGGAAACCCUGAUGCAGCCAUGCCGCGUGUGUGAAGAAGGCCUUCGGGUUGUAAAGCACUUUCAGCGAGGAGGAAAGGUUGGUAGCUAAUAACUGCCAGCUGUGACGUUACUCGCAGAAGAAGCACCGGCUAACUCCGUGCCAGCAGCCGCGGUAAUACGGAGGGUGCAAGCGUUAAUCGGAAUUACUGGGCGUAAAGCGCACGCAGGCGGUUGGAUAAGUUAGAUGUGAAAGCCCCGGGCUCAACCUGGGAAUUGCAUUUAAAACUGUCCAGCUAGAGUCUUGUAGAGGGGGGUAGAAUUCCAGGUGUAGCGGUGAAAUGCGUAGAGAUCUGGAGGAAUACCGGUGGCGAAGGCGGCCUCCUGGACAAAGACUGACGCUCAGGUGCGAAAGCGUGGGGAGCAAA